This 169-nucleotide unclassified non-coding RNA is filed under the name uncultured fungus. Its description in RNAcentral is "sequence contains ITS1". Lineage: Eukaryota; Fungi. The record is from RNAcentral.
CAAUUUUGGUACGUCGAGUCGCCCUCCGGGGCGGCUUCGGUGUUGCCAAUCGAGAUACCAACCCAUGUCUUUUGAGCACCUCACGUUUCCUCGGCAGGCUCGCCUGCCAAUGGGGACCACUUUAAAACCUUUUGUGUAUGCAGUAAACGUUUACAAUUUAAUUGAAUCA